GUAAGUAUGUUGAAAUUGGUAGCCAAGCUGUAUUUAGGAUACAGUAGUUUAUACUAUGUGGGUUCAAGUCCCACUACUUACA
RNAcentral lists this transfer RNA (82 nucleotides) under Jaminaea angkorensis. RNAcentral describes it as "tRNA-Leu". It matches the Rfam family "tRNA". Rfam says of the family: Transfer RNA (tRNA) molecules are approximately 80 nucleotides in length. Lineage: Eukaryota; Fungi; Basidiomycota; Exobasidiomycetes; Microstromatales. The record is from RNAcentral.